RNAcentral lists this ribosomal RNA (254 nucleotides) under uncultured Desulfocapsa sp. RNAcentral's name for it is "partial 16S ribosomal RNA". It matches the Rfam family "Bacterial small subunit ribosomal RNA", at positions 1132 to 1382 of the family's 1533-position model. Lineage: Bacteria; Pseudomonadati; Thermodesulfobacteriota; Desulfobulbia; Desulfobulbales; Desulfocapsaceae. The record is from RNAcentral.
GUGGCACUCUAAGACGAACUGCCGGUUGCAAAACCGGAGGAAAGGUGGGGAUGACGUCAAGUCCUCAUGGCCUUUAUGACCAGGGCUACACACGUACUACAAUGGCCGGUACAAAGGGCAGCGACACAGCGAUGUGAAGCGAAUCCCGAAAAGCCGGUCUCAGUCCGGAUUGGAGUCUGCAACUCGACUCCAUGAAGUUGGAAUCGCUAGUAAUCGCGGAUCAGCACGCCGCGGUGAAUACGUUCCCGGGCCUU